CUCACCAUACAACAUCCUUUCUUCCCAAAAUCCGACCACGCUAUCGCAACCCCUGCAAAACUCAUUGCUGCUGCCACCAUCAUCUCGGGCGUUCAAAACCUUGUCCGCUGCAACCUACCAUCAUUCAAAACCCGCUACAUCCCGAUUUAAAACCAUAGCCGCAAUUAUUGAAACACCCUACUCACCAACCCAUCAUCCAAACCCAUUUGAACCCACCUGCUGGUCUGGCGAUCAACAUUGCUGGCAUUACAGUCCCUUUUGCCAUUCCCGCACGAGAUUCCCGCUUCGCACAACUCUAACCCUUUCCCUGCCAUUACUCAUAUGGGAAAUGCUGCAGCCAUUGCAACUGCAUUUGGUGGAGGCUUGCCUCCUAGAAAUCAUUCUAAAUGAUUGAUCCAUCAGAACCAUCUAGGAAAUGGUUUGUUUAUGUUUAAAGUGGCU
This is a long non-coding RNA of Magnolia sinica, 441 nucleotides long. RefSeq lists it as uncharacterized. Lineage: Eukaryota; Viridiplantae; Streptophyta; Magnoliopsida; Magnoliales; Magnoliaceae. The record is from RefSeq and is a predicted model, not a curated record. The transcript has 3 exons.